UCCACCCACACUUAUCUAUUCUACUUGCCUUUUCUGAUGAGAUCUAUCUGUUUUCCCUAGUCUUUUACUCUAUUACCCUCUGUGCUUCUACAGACUGUGAGCUCUGAUUCACUAAACUGCUGAACGUAAAGAAGUGCAUUUAAGAAGAAAAUGUUGGAAUGGUCCUCUGGUCACCAUGGCAUCCACCAGUAGCCUCAGUUCCAGAUCUUGAGGAAGCUGUCCUGGGACCCUGUUGCUACAGCCAUGCCAUCACUAGUCACUCCCAGGCAACAGACAUGGUUGUGGUGUCCUGCUCUGUCAGCCUUCCAGACACUGCAGGUGAAGUCAUCGUUCUAUCCAGCAAGAAGGAGGUGGUGGCCACUAUUAGGGAAGAAUACAGAUGUGAUCCCACAGAUGAUGUCAUGGGAGUAGGUCAUGAGCUGCAUGGAUGUCAAACAGCCUGCACACAACCUCAUCUGGGCCAGUGGCAAAGGCACUGCCACUGGAAAAGAAACAGAUGGCAUUGAUGUGAGACUCACGGAAGGUCUGCCCGCACAUCUCUUCUCAGACAUCCCAGGGCUUGGCUGAACCGUCGUUGCAAGCACCAGAGACAAACAGUCUGGUGUCAGG
Long non-coding RNA from Rattus norvegicus (Norway rat), 609 nucleotides. Lineage: Eukaryota; Metazoa; Chordata; Mammalia; Rodentia; Muridae. The record is from Ensembl.